This 1138-nucleotide long non-coding RNA is filed under the name Nicotiana benthamiana. Its description in RNAcentral is "long non-coding RNA (NBEN_LNC011526)". The record is from RNAcentral. Lineage: Eukaryota; Viridiplantae; Streptophyta; Magnoliopsida; Solanales; Solanaceae.
AUGAAUCAAGCGGCAGCUCUUAAGAGAAAGUCCCAAAUCCAAAUAAAGCUGAAAGUCCAAUGAAGAAUAUAGGUUUUGAUUUCCAACACCAAUCAAGUACUGAACUAGCCAAAAAAUUUCAGAUUAAGAGAGAAAAGCUUUCAAGUGAUCGCAAUGAUAAAGCUGCUAAAGAGCAUGCAUUACUUGGAGUUAAAAGGAAGAAUUGUGUGCCUGCAACAUUGGAAGGACAAAAUAGACAGAAGUUAACUCAAUCUGAUGUGUCAGUUCAAAAGUUAGGAAGGAAUAGUAUUGCAAGUAAAGGACAAUUUAAACAAAGGUCAAUUCAAUUAGAGGAUCCCAUUCAAAAGCAAGAAACGAGUAAAUUACAUGUGCCCACAUCCACGAUCCAAUCAUCUGCAAAGGUAGAUCCUAAAAAUUUACAUAUGCCUAAAAGAUCACAAGGUGAAGGAGAGAAACACCAUGAUAUUCAGGAGCUACAAAAUUGCAAAGUGGUAAAGACAAACUCAGCCCUACCGUCUACGAGCGUUAUUCAAUUUCUAAAAAAAUAUGGGAUACAAGUCGAUGGUGAAAAACAUCCUGAUAAUCACCCAGAAAACGAAGUCAGAUUUUUGUCCUCUUCUAUUAUUGAUGAGCGUGAAAUAGAAUUGGAUAAUUUUGAUGCACAAGAUGAAGUUGGUGACGAUGAAUUUAUUGGAGAUGGAAGAUGAACAUCGAUGGUGCUGCAGGUGGUAUGUCUUAAACCUUAUAAUUAUUCUACAUAUUUUGAUUUUUUUCUUCUUACUUCUUUCUUGUUAUAUCAAUCUAGGGACAUCAUAGAAGAAAAGAGUUCGAGGGAAAACAACAUGUAAAAAAAUUCAUGCUUCUUGUGUCUUGCUUGUUAUUCAAUCUAGGGACAUCAGAGAAGAAAAGAGUUCGAGGGAAAACAACAUGUAAGAAUAUUAAUGCAAGAAGUUUUGAAGAAAGAGAUGAGGUGACAUUUGAUAAAGGACAAGCAGUUGGAACAACUGACAAGAGAGUGUUUAACUUGACCAACUUUUAAGGAACGAUUGCAAGGUAUCCAGGAUGUAUCCCCUUGGUGCAUACCAGUUGGAAUGCCAUGUCAAAGGAUAUUAAGCAACGAAUGUGGGAAUAUGUCAAU